Molecule: ribosomal RNA, 382 nt
Filed under: uncultured bacterium
Lineage: Bacteria
Description: bacterial SSU rRNA
Rfam family: Bacterial small subunit ribosomal RNA
Source: RNAcentral
GGAUCAACGCUGGCGGCGUGCCUAACACAUGCAAGUCGAACGAGAAAGGGGAGCAAUCCCUGAGUAAAGUGGCGACCGGGUGAGUAACACGUGACCAAUCUACCCUUGAGUGGGGGAUAACCUCGGGAAACCGGGGCUAAUACCGCAUAACAUCUCUGGAUCGGAAGAACUGGAGAUCAAAGGAGCAAUUCGCUUAAGGAGGAGGUCGCGGCUGAUUAGCUAGUUGGCGGGGUAAUGGCCCACCAAGGCUUAGAUCGGUAGCCGGCCUGAGAGGGCGCACGGCCACACUGGAACUGAAACACGGUCCAGACUCUACGGGAGGCAGCAGUGGGGAAUUUUGCGCAAUGGGGGAAACCUACGAGCAGCAACGCCGCGUGAGGAU